GUACAUUUCCCUUUUGUAAUUAUUUGUGGACAUAGCUGUUAUUGGCCCUAUGUACUUACUAUUUUCCGUUAGUAUAAUGCAUAUUGUAAAAUUGAUGGCUGUUGUUAUCCCAAAUAAAUAAAUAAAAUAA
Aricia agestis (brown argus) is the source of this 130-nucleotide long non-coding RNA. RefSeq lists it as uncharacterized. The transcript is spliced from 4 exons. Lineage: Eukaryota; Metazoa; Arthropoda; Insecta; Lepidoptera; Lycaenidae. The record is from RefSeq and is a predicted model, not a curated record.